This 492-nucleotide ribosomal RNA is filed under the name uncultured bacterium. RNAcentral describes it as "bacterial SSU rRNA". It matches the Rfam family "Bacterial small subunit ribosomal RNA", at positions 28 to 507 of the family's 1533-position model. The record is from RNAcentral.
GAUGAACGCUAGCUACAGGCUUAACACAUGCAAGUCGAGGGGAAACGACAUCGAAAGCUUGCUUUUGAUGGGCGUCGACCGGCGCACGGGUGAGUAACGCGUAUCCAACCUGCCCACCACUUGGGGAUAACCUUGCGAAAGUAAGACUAAUACCCAAUGAUAUCCCACGAAGGCAUCCGAAUGGGAUUAAAGAUUUAUCGGUGAUGGAUGGGGAUGCGUCUGAUUAGCUUGUUGGCGGGGUAACGGCCCACCAAGGCAACGAUCAGUAGGGGUUCUGAGAGGAAGGUCCCCCACAUUGGAACUGAGACACGGUCCAAACUCCUACGGGAGGCAGCAGUGAGGAAUAUUGGUCAAUGGGCGGAAGCCUGAACCAGCCAAGUAGCGUGCAGGACGACGGCCCUAUGGGUUGUAAACUGCUUUUANGCGGGGAUAAAGUGGGCCACGCGUGGCCUUUUGCAGGUACCGCAUGAAUAAGGACCGGCUAAUUCCGUG